AACGAACGCUGGCGGCAGGCUUAACACAUGCAAGUCGAGCGCCCCGCAAGGGGAGCGGCAGACGGGUGAGUAACGCGUGGGAAUCUACCUAGCUCUACGGAAUAACCCAGGGAAACUUGGACUAAUAUCGUAUACGUCCGAGAGGAGAAAGAUUUAUCGGAGUUAGAUGAGCCCGCGUUGGAUUAGCUAGUUGGUGGGGUAAAGGCCUACCAAGGCGACGAUCCAUAGCUGGUCUGAGAGGAUGAUCAGCCACACUGGGACUGAGACACGGCCCAG
RNAcentral lists this ribosomal RNA (276 nucleotides) under uncultured bacterium. RNAcentral's name for it is "partial 16S ribosomal RNA". It matches the Rfam family "Bacterial small subunit ribosomal RNA", at positions 29 to 334 of the family's 1533-position model. The record is from RNAcentral.